UAUCCCUACGGGGCGCAGCAGUAGGGAAUAUUGCUCAAUGGGGGAAACCCUGAAGCAGCAACGCCGCGUGGAGGAUGAGGGUUUUAGGAUUGUAAACUCCUUUUGCGAGAGAAGAUAAUGACGGUAUCUCACGAAUAAGCACCGGCUAACUCCGUGCCAGCAGCCGCGGUAAUACGGAGGGUGCAAGCGUUACUCGGAAUCACUGGGCGCAAAGAGUGCGCAGGCGGGCUUGUAAGUCAGAUGUGAAAUCCUGUAGCUUAACUACAGAACUGCAUUUGAAACUAUGGGUCUAGUGUGUGGGAGAG
RNAcentral lists this ribosomal RNA (305 nucleotides) under uncultured bacterium. RNAcentral describes it as "bacterial SSU rRNA". It matches the Rfam family "Bacterial small subunit ribosomal RNA", at positions 334 to 656 of the family's 1533-position model. The record is from RNAcentral.